Zootermopsis nevadensis is the source of this 1046-nucleotide non-coding RNA. Lineage: Eukaryota; Metazoa; Arthropoda; Insecta; Blattodea; Termopsidae. The record is from RefSeq and is a predicted model, not a curated record.
ACGACAUGGGUGGUUUUGUUUACUUCGUCGAAACAUUUGCCGGAAAAGUAGUUCCUUAAAAGGAGCCAUUGCAGGGUCUUAUAUAGGACUGUUAUAGCUGAAUGGCUUUCUGAAUCCGAACACGUUUGGUUCAUCUAGCAAUUCGGAUGACAGAAUAUGAAAUACUGUACAUAUCAUAACGUUCGUCAGUUACGGUCAGUUCUACUCUUUUGUCAAGACAGUACUGAGCACCAGCGCUGAUUCAAUUCUUUUAAAUAAGACAUGGACUCCGACCGAAAUCGUAGAAGUGGAAAUCCUUUAUUACACCCCACGGAGUGACAGAGUGUAGUUAAAUCGUUAAAUAAAUUAAGACUUGAAUUUUGUACAGGACAUUUAUUUAUGCACGUGGUUGGCGUGCUGACCGCGCGUUUGUACUUCCGCCCGUUGGGUGUGCGAGGGGAGAGGAGACGCUGUGAGGCAAGGUUGCUCAGUAGCACAGAAGAUAAGAACCAUCAGUGCAUGGCUUGACGCGGAGCAGGAAAGUAGUGUAGGUGGCUGUUGUUUCUCUGAUACGUCGUGUUAAGUGCGGCUGUUGUUUCUUUAGUACGUAGUGUUAAGUGUGAAGUUCUGUUAUUUUAACAUUUGCAACAAGAAAACAUCAAGAUGACGGUGACUUAUACGGGCGAAGUAGCGACGUGCAGAGGAUUUGGGUGUUUCCUGAAAUUACUGCUUCGACACUUUUCCAACGGCUUCUGAGAAGGAUUGUUAUGAAUUAUGAACCGGGAAGACUGUGGUGCUGGUACAAUAGCAAUUUUUCUGGAGAGAUCCGUGAAAGUCACGGAAAAAUUCGUUCAGAAUUGCUGGCCCGCGGACUUUGAGUGGGUGACCGGGACUCUCGAAUUGGGGAAAGACGGAGGUUUUGCAGGGUUGAAGGUGCGUGUGCACUCAGACUUGCCGUUGGGAGGAAUGUGGCCCUAAACUUAACCGACUCAUUAACUUACACGAAUGAGGUAUUUGACUUAGCGAACUUCACGUCGAAGUGGUUAACGUCACACCAGAUGUUUCCU